This 197-nucleotide ribosomal RNA is filed under the name uncultured bacterium. RNAcentral describes it as "partial 16S ribosomal RNA". It matches the Rfam family "Bacterial small subunit ribosomal RNA", at positions 328 to 539 of the family's 1533-position model. The record is from RNAcentral.
ACGCUCGACACCUACGGGAGGCAGCAGUGGGGAAUAUUGCACAAUGGGGGAAACCCUGAUGCAGCGACGCCGCGUGAAGGAAGAAGUAUCUCGGUAUGUAAACUUCUAUCAGCAGGGAAGAAAGUGACGGUACCUGACUAAGAACGCCCCGGCUAACUACGUGCCAGCAGCCGGUAAUCUGAGCGGGCUGGCAAGGC